Molecule: long non-coding RNA, 813 nt
Filed under: Daphnia pulex (common water flea)
Lineage: Eukaryota; Metazoa; Arthropoda; Branchiopoda; Diplostraca; Daphniidae
Description: uncharacterized LOC124201079, transcript variant X1
Source: RNAcentral
CAAUGCGUAAUCCAUCCUCCUGUAAUUUCCUUUUGGCGAAAUAAUCUGAUCACGUGGGCCAAAACUGCUGUCCAUUUUGCCGAAUGCCGUCUAGGCGUCUAUUAUUACCUGUACCUGCUGUACGAGUUUGCUGUACGUCUCGUCCCAUGAAGAAGCACUUCAGACCAAUUUAAGUCUCAGACUGCUGUGCUGAUAUAUUGCAGAAAUCGAGAACACAGCCAAGUCAUAGCUACAUUGAUGUCGUGGGACCACAUGCUACUAAAUUACUUCUUGCCUAAACAUGUAAUAAAAAAAAAAACAGUAGUUUUUUCAGAGUACUUGACUUGAAAUUUGUGUCUCACGUUGCCGAAAUAUGUCUUCUCCUGCUUGUUCUACAUAGCAUCCUAUGAACAGGUAACAGCAUAGUGGACAAGGUUUCGAUAGCCAUUUGACGUUGACGGUGUCAAUGGAGAUGCUGAAUUUCACAAUUCAACUCUGCCAAACAGUUUUUCAUAUGGCCUGAAUCUGAAGAUUAAUUUAAUUUGAUUUUGUUUCUAGAUUAUGCUCCCAUAGCUGCUGUCUACUUGUUGCAGCCAUAUGCUGGUGGUAAAAGUCUUUUUGCAUAAAGUUGAACUGUGAUUGUACCUUGAUGACGGUUUCAUGUUGCGGAAGUUUAGAACAGUAUGUUAAAUUGUCAUUUUGCCAAAUAAUAAACAAAUCAUCGCGAUUGGGAAAGCAACGAGGAGGUGGGAGGGAGACUUAAAUAUUUAAAAGAAAUGUUGAGGUGUUUUGUCGAAGAAAUUGACUCGGUAAUUAUAAAUAUCUUCAACUUUA